RNAcentral lists this unclassified non-coding RNA (167 nucleotides) under plant metagenome. RNAcentral describes it as "partial contains 5.8S ribosomal RNA, internal transcribed spacer 2, and large subunit ribosomal RNA". The record is from RNAcentral.
CGCGAUCACCGUCUACAAGCUCGACCCGGCGGGCCGCUAUGCGACGCGCACCACGAUCCGGGCGGGAAAGGUCUCACUGAACUCCAUCCAGGUGCUGCAGGGGCUCCGUCCGGGCGAUCGCAUCAUCACGUCCGAGAUCGGCGAGUGGCAGGGGCAGGACCGCAUCC